GCCUCCAAGCUCUUUUCCCACCUCACGCAAUCAUCUCAGCCUGACGAAGAGGUGCCGUCAUUAUCCCCCCCUCAGCGGCAGGCUUAAGUGACCUGCUCGGUUCACGGGGUGCCGCCCAGCACCUCCACAGCCUACUGGACGGCCUGGGGCCUGAGUACCAUCCCCCACUUGGGGAAGAGGCAGGCCCAGGUGAUCCUGGUGACAGCAGGUGCUGUGGAGGGCCAAGCCAAGCCAAGGUGGCGGUGAGUUCUGGGCUGUCUUCACCAAGAUGUGCUGAUGAAAGGAGAGGAAGCAAGAAGGGCAACCGCUUUCGACGAAAUCCUGACUGAGAGAGAAGACACACAGAUGGGGCUUCAGAGCCCAACGUAGACUUAACCCUGAGAUCAAGAGCUGAGCUGAGAUCGAGUCAGACACCCAACCAAGCCAUCCAGGCAGCCCAUUAAAAAAAAAAUUAAGUAGGCUCCAUGGCCCAACGUGGGGCUCAGACUCACGGCCCUGAGAUCAAGAGUCAUGUGUUCUACUGACUGAGCCAGCCGGCUGUCCCUUGGGAUCAAUUUUGUUAACAACCAGGGCGGCAGAGCAAGCGGGUGUGGGAGCGGAAUGUGCUGGCAGGAGUGUGGGGAGGAGCAAGAGGACCCUGGUGACGAGGGCGGAGGGUGGAAAAGGUGGCAGAAGAUGGGAGCAUGGCCAUUACCCCUUUGCUUACUGGGGGCGUGGGACAGUUUGUGACUAGGGUGUGGCUGCCAAGUACGAACAAUACUGAAAAUGUACUGGAAUGAUGAAUGAUGACAGGGUGGCAUGAACUUGUUUAGAAGCUGGGAAUGCAGGUAACUUUUGUCUUGGGUUGAUUUCAGUGUACUUUUUUCAGAGAUGCAAAACAAAACAAAACAAAACCAAAAAAACAAACAAAACCAAAAAAACAACCCCAAAAGUAUCACUCAGUAAAGUUGCAAACGGCAGACAGGACAGACCAGAUCAUGACCUCAGCCGAAACCGAGUCGGACGCUGAAACGACGGAGUCACCCAGGCGCCCCUAGCCCAUGUUUCAUUAAAAUAAUUUUUUUU
This is a long non-coding RNA of Neofelis nebulosa (Clouded leopard), 1065 nucleotides long. RefSeq lists it as uncharacterized. The transcript is spliced from 2 exons. The record is from RefSeq and is a predicted model, not a curated record. NCBI's taxonomy places the organism in Eukaryota, Metazoa, Chordata, Mammalia, Carnivora, Felidae.